This 2910-nucleotide ribosomal RNA is filed under the name Enterococcus faecium. RNAcentral's name for it is "23S ribosomal RNA". It matches the Rfam family "Bacterial large subunit ribosomal RNA". Lineage: Bacteria; Bacillati; Bacillota; Bacilli; Lactobacillales; Enterococcaceae. The record is from RNAcentral.
UUAAGUGAAUAAGGGCGCACGGUGGAUGCCUUGGCACUAGGAGCCGAUGAAGGACGGGACUAACACCGAUAUGCUUUGGGGAGCUGUACGUAAGCUAUGAUCCAGAGAUUUCCGAAUGGGGGAACCCAGCAUCUUUAAUAGGAUGUUACGAUUGUGUGAAUACAUAGCACAUUCGAGGUAGACGCAGAGAACUGAAACAUCUAAGUACCUGCAGGAAGAGAAAGAAAAUUCGAUUCCCUGAGUAGCGGCGAGCGAAACGGGAAAAGCCCAAACCAGCAAGCUUGCUUGUUGGGGUUGUAGGACUCCAAUAUGGUAGUUCUUUCAGAUAGUCGAAUGACUUGGAAAAGUCAGUCAAAGAGGGUAAAAACCCCGUAGACGAAAUGUGGAAGACACCUAGGAGGAUCCUGAGUACGGCGGAACACGAGAAAUUCCGUCGGAAUCCGGGAGGACCAUCUCCCAAGGCUAAAUACUCCCUAGUGACCGAUAGUGAACCAGUACCGUGAGGGAAAGGUGAAAAGCACCCCGGAAGGGGAGUGAAAUAGAACCUGAAACCGUGUGCCUACAACAAGUCAAAGCCCGUUAAUGGGUGCUUUAAUAGGAUGUUACGAUUGUACCGGCGAGUUACGAUUGCAUGCGAGGUUAAGUUGAAGAGACGGAGCCGCAGCGAAAGCGAGUCUGAAUAGGGCGUUUGAGUAUGUAGUCGUAGACCCGAAACCAUGUGAUCUACCCAUGUCCAGGUUGAAGGUGCGGUAAAACGCACUGGAGGACCGAACCCACGUACGUUGAAAAGUGCGGGGAUGAGGUGUGGGUAGCGGAGAAAUUCCAAACGAACUUGGAGAUAGCUGGUUCUCUCCGAAAUAGCUUUAGGGCUAGCCUCGGAAUUGAGAAUGAUGGAGGUAGAGCACUGUUUGGACUAGGGGCCCAUCUCGGGUUACCGAAUUCAGAUAAACUCCGAAUGCCAUUCAUUCAUAUCCGGGAGUCAGACUGUGAGUGAUAAGAUCCAUAGUCGAAAGGGAAACAGCCCAGACCACCAGCUAAGGUCCCAAAAUAUAUGUUAAGUGGAAAAGGAUGUGGGGUUGCACAGACAACUAGGAUGUUGGCUUAGAAGCAGCCAUCAUUUAAAGAGUGCGUAAUAGCUCACUAGUCGAGUGACCCUGCGCCGAAAAUGUACCGGGGCUAAACAUAUUACCGAAGCUGUGGAGUACACCUUUAGGUGUAUUGGUAGGAGAGCGUUCUAAGGGCGUCGAAGGCAGAUCGUGAGGACUGCUGGAGCGCUUAGAAGUGAGAAUGCCGGUAUGAGUAGCGAAAGACAGGUGAGAAUCCUGUCCACCGAAUGACUAAGGUUUCCUGGGGAAGGCUCGUCCGCCCAGGGUUAGUCGGGACCUAAGCCGAGGCCGACAGGCGUAGGCGAUGGAUAACAGGUUGAUAUUCCUGUACCCGUUGUUUUUGUUUGAGCAAUGGAGGGACGCAGGAGGCUAAGGAAUGCAGACGAUCGGAAAUGUCUGUCCAAGCAGCAAGUCUGAAGAGGAGUUAAAUGCUUCUUUUCUUAAGGACAAGCUGUGAUGGGGAGGGAAAUAAUAGUACCGAAGUUCCUGAUGUCACACUGCCGAGAAAAGCUUCUAGUGAGAAAACAGCGGCCCGUACCGCAAACCGACACAGGUAGUCGAGGAGAGAAUCCUAAGGUGAGCGAGAGAACUCUCGUUAAGGAACUCGGCAAAAUGACCCCGUAACUUCGGGAGAAGGGGUGCUGAUCAUACGAUCAGCCGCAGUGAAUAGGCCCAAGCGACUGUUUAUCAAAAACACAGGUCUCUGCAAAAUCGUAAGAUGAAGUAUAGGGGCUGACGCCUGCCCGGUGCUGGAAGGUUAAGAGGAGUGCUUAGCGCAAGCGAAGGUACGAAUUGAAGCCCCAGUAAACGGCGGCCGUAACUAUAACGGUCCUAAGGUAGCGAAAUUCCUUGUCGGGUAAGUUCCGACCCGCACGAAAGGCGUAACGAUUUGGGCACUGUCUCAACGAGAGACUCGGUGAAAUUUUAGUACCUGUGAAGAUGCAGGUUACCCGCGACAGGACGGAAAGACCCCAUGGAGCUUUACUGUAGUUUGAUAUUGAGUGUCUGUACCGCAUGUACAGGAUAGGUAGGAGCCGUAGAAAUCGGAACGCUAGUUUCUCGGCAAAAUGACCCCGUAACUUCGGGAGAAGGGGUGCUGAUCAUACGAGCACCACUAAUCGUGGUGGGAGACAGUGUCAGAUGGGCAGUUUGACUGGGGCGGUCGCCUCCUAAAAGGUAACGGAGGCGCCCAAAGGUUCCCUCAGAAUGGUUGGAAAUCAUUCGAAGAGUGUAAAGGCAGAAGGGAGCUUGACUGCGAGACCAACAAGUCGAGCAGGGACGAAAGUCGGGCUUAGUGAUCCGGUGGUUCCGCAUGGAAGGGCCAUCGCUCAACGGAUAAAAGCUACCCUGGGGAUAACAGGCUUAUCUCCCCCAAGAGUCCACAUCGACGGGGAGGUUUGGCACCUCGAUGUCGGCUCGUCGCAUCCUGGGGCUGUAGUCGGUCCCAAGGGUUGGGCUGUUCGCCCAUUAAAGCGGCACGCGAGCUGGGUUCAGAACGUCGUGAGACAGUUCGGUCCCUAUCCGUCGCGGGCGUUGGAAAUUUGAGAGGAGCUGUCCUUAGUACGAGAGGACCGGGAUGGACUUACCGCUGGUGUACCAGUUGUUCUGCCAAGGGCAUUGCUGGGUAGCUAUGUAGGGAAGGGAUAAACGCUGAAAGCAUCUAAGUGUGAAGCCCACCUCAAGAUGAGAUUUCCCAUUUCUUUAAGAAAGUAAGAUCCCUGAGAGAUGAUCAGGUAGAUAGGUCAGGAGUGGAAGUACAGUGAUGUAUGGAGCGGACUGAUACUAAUCGAUCGAGGACUUAACC